Molecule: ribosomal RNA, 533 nt
Filed under: uncultured bacterium
Lineage: Bacteria
Description: bacterial SSU rRNA
Rfam family: Bacterial small subunit ribosomal RNA
Source: RNAcentral
UGGCGGCGUGCCUAAACAUGCAAGUCGAACGAGAAAGUGGAGCAAUCCAUGAGUAAAGUGGCGACCGGGUGAGUAACACGUGACUAACCUACCCUCGAGUGGGGAAUAACUCCGGGAAACCGGGGCUAAUACCGCAUAACAUCGCAAGAUCAAAGCAGCAAUGCGCUUGAGGAGGGGGUCGCGGCUGAUUAGCUAGUUGGCGGGGUAACGGCCCACCAAGGCGAAGAUCGGUAUCCGGCCUGAGAGGGCGCACGGACACACUGGAACUGAAACACGGUCCAGACUCCUACGGGAGGCAGCAGUGGGGAAUUUUGCGCAAUGGGGGAAACCCUGACGCAGCAACGCCGCGUGGAGGAUGAAGCCCUUUGGGGCGUAAACUCCUUUCGACUCGGACGAUAAUGACGGUACGAGUGGAAGAAGCACCGGCUAACUCUGUGCCAGCAGCCGCGGUAAUACAGAGGGUGCGAGCGUUGUUCGGAAUUAUUGGGCGUAAAGGGCGCGUANGCGGUGCGGUAAGUCACCUGUGAAAUCUC